This is an RNA transcript of Fukomys damarensis (Damara mole-rat), 3655 nucleotides long. It is a transcript of the gene named cell division cycle associated 2, with no coding region annotated. The record is from RefSeq and is a predicted model, not a curated record. The transcript is spliced from 15 exons. Lineage: Eukaryota; Metazoa; Chordata; Mammalia; Rodentia; Bathyergidae.
UUUGGUGAGAGGGUUGUUCCUCGUUUUUCUCUUCGUCUUUUAGAUGGAUACCAGUUCAAAUGAUAAGGGAUCCCCUGAAACCAAGGCGUCUGCUCUUCAUGAUGCCGAAAACGCCUCUCUCAUCUCCGGAACUGGGACGCUCAAGACGCCUCAGAAGCAUGCAGCAGAAGUGACUCCUAAGCUUUGCACACCACAGACUUUUAAAUCACCUUUGAACUUUUCCACAGUAACCAUAGAGCAGUUGGGAAUUACACCUGAAAGUUUCGUUAAGAACUCUUCAGGGAAGUCAUCAUCCUAUCUUAAGAAGUCCAGACGACGCUCUGCAGUGGGUGCGCGGGGCUCUCCUGAAACAAACCACCUGAUUCGCUUCAUGGCUCAGCAGCGGGCUUUGAAGGGCACUGAGAAAUCUCCUUCGGCCUGGGCCUCCCCCUUUCAGGGCAGCCCUGGGGUGAAUCAAAAUGUUAAUUCACUAAGAGAGCGAAUGUCUGCUUUCCAGUCAGCUUUUCACUCCAUCAAGGAAAGUGAGAAAGUGUCUUCCUGUCCAGAAACCUCAGACGCGGAAGAAGGGUCUGAGGUGACAGGCUUAGCCAACAAGAAAGGUCGAGGCGGAGGUUGGCAGCCGGGAUUUCCUGGAGAGUUUUCCUCGAAACGCCGGAAGAUAUCCUCAGAGAGCAGCUCUGAGGAUGGGCUCGGCCGCGCAGGGGGCUCAGGGGUGGAUACACAGACACCCAGGGCCCAAGUGGACACAGUGCACGCUGCUGGCACCUCUGCAGCUCCUCCUGAGAAAUCACCUGAACAUGGUCUAACCCAGUCUGGAUGUGUAGUUGAAUCUGUUCCCAGUGCAGCGGUCACAGAGACUUCAAGUGGAUUCGAGGUUGCAGAUUGCGGGGUGGGCACAGGAUCCAGUGAUGCUGAUCCGCUCACCACACCGCCCACGGGGGUGAGUGGGGCCGCGGUCCCCGAGGGCGGGUCACCACCUCCUCCCGUGUGCAGGAGGGAAGUUCCACCCGCUGAGACCUUUGUCCUCCGUUCCGUAUUGAAGAAACCUUGUGUGAAGCCGUGUCUACACAGCCUGCAGGAGCACUAUAACAACUUCUGUGAUGAUGGGAUGCAUCCAAGCUUAGCUUCAAAUCUUUUAAACUGUUGCAAAGAACAAAAAUCAGAUGAUGAAGAAGAUUGUAAUGUGCCCACUUUUCUGAAUCUGAGGAAGAGGAAGAGAGUUACUUUUGGAGAGGAGCUAAGCCCGGAAGUGUUUGAUGAGUCUCUGCCCGCUAAUACCCCACUGCGGAAAGGAGGGACACCUGCCCGUCAGAAGGACUCCAGUAGGCUCAGUCCCCAACUUCCAGAGGAGUCACCAGUGCCUGAGCCUCUGCCCCAGCCAGAUUUCGAUGACAAAGGGGAAAAUCUUGAAAACAUAGAACCACUUCAGAUAUCUUUUGUGGCUCUGAGUCCUAAUAAAUCUUCAGUCUCUGAGACUCUUUCAGGAACUGAAACCUUUAGUUCUUCAAAUAAUCAUAAGAAAAUAUCCUCUUGUAAAGCAGGUAGACUAACACGGACUUCUAACAGAAGAAAUCAGUUGACCAGUUUCUCAGAAGAGAAUGUUUGCAACUUAUAUAAUGUAGAAGCUCAGCCUUAUAAAGAAAAGAAAGUUAAUAGGAAGUGUCAAGACACCAGGUGUGCAAACAGAGCAGUUUCUAAAAAGAAACAGGUUUUUAAAAGUGGCAGAAAGAAGAAAAGAAAAGGAAAGAAAAGUGUGGAGAAAUCUUUGUAUGGAGAAAGAGAAACUGCUUCCAGGAAGCCGCUGCUGAGUCCUAUUCCUGAGCUGCCAGAGGGCUCCGAGGCGGCAGCUUCCGUCACAGGCCCCCGAAGGCUGCGUGCAGAUGAUUUCAGCUCAACUGGAAAACGGGGAGAAUUGGAGCUGCUUAACACCCCUGCUAAGAGAGAGAAUCUUUGGCUUCUGAGCUCAGAUUUGCAUUCGCAGCAAGGCUUCGAUGGAUCCGAUGCCUUUGAACUCUGCUGCUCCGAUGUGACCGGUUCCUCACUGCCCACGGCCACCUCUGAUGAAGAUUCAGACACAAACGUGGGUAACAGUGCAAAUAUGGCAAAGGCAGAAAAUGAGCAGGAAUGUGAAAGUGAACUCAGAACUGACAUGCAGACCAAAAGCAGUCAAGCUUCUGGCGCGUCUGUGACCAAAGAACUCCCUGUGUCAGAUGAUCUGAGACGUGAUCUUAUCCCGCAGUGCCAGGAAGUUGCUGUCAGAUCUUUAGGUCAGGUUGCAGAAAAACUUUGUCAGAUUUUUAACACUGCAAAAGAUAUAAAGUUGAAGGAACAGGAUGACUUCUUAGUAGCUGCAGAGGGAAAAUUGCAAUGCGAGUCCACAUCUGGCUCACAAGAAGAAUUUAAUUGUUUAGAAGAUGUCCUCACCAGAAAGGGCCAAGAAUCUGAGAGCCACAGCGAGGAUGUGGAAAGCCGGCCUGCAGAAAGCGGGAAUACUACAGGUUGUAGAGGAGGGAAACGCAGACGGCUCUCACUGUGCCGCUCUGACGAUCACAGUGUCUGUUCACAGCAAAGCGGGAAUCACAAUCCUUCCUACGGCAUGGGAAGCUCUGCAGAAGUGAGUCUCGGAGAUCCCAAACUAUGUAAAGAUUUAUGUGACGCCAUAGAGCAAGCCUUCCAGAGAGCCAGUAGUGAAACCAAAGUACGGCGAAGCACAAGGCUCCAAAAAGAUUCCGAAAACCAAGGGCUUGUGUGGCUCUCACUUCCGUCUCCUUCCACUUCCCAGAAAGCCAAAAGGAGAACCAUCUGUGCAUUGGAUCGCAGGGAAUUUGAAAGUUCGUCCCCUAGAAAACAGACCCCGUGCCCUGGGCAAAACCCAGGUGUGGUGGCCUCCAUGUCAGGUGAAGAAAGCAGCCAGGACCAGGCUGCCACUGGCUCUCGUGUAACUGGGAAGAGGAGGAAGAGCCUUUGUGCCUUUCCCAGGGAGAAGGCGGAGAGCUUGCAAGGCAAGAGCUAACUAACCACGUCCCAGAGCGCUUGGCUGCAGAGGUAACCUGGCCUCGCGUCUUCCCUCCCACCUCCCAGCCUUUGUUCCAGUGCAGUGCUCGCAAGUUUCGAGUAAAAUCGCCUAUGAUUUUUAAGUAGAAGCCUUUGUUGGCCAGCUCCCCUACGUACAGACUUUUCCACUCUCCUUGCUGUCACGUUCUCUUGCUGCUUCAUGUUCGCUCCCUGCCUUGCUCUCACUGGAGCUCCAGAACUGCGGGUGAAGUUUGGAGCUGGCAGAACAAGGAGAAAAUGAUUGAUCGUGCCUGAUUCAUGCUUUGGAAAACUGAGCUAUUUUUAAAGUCAAAUGUAGUGAUGUAAAGUAACUCAGUGCAAUAUACUCUUUAAGCAUACAGUUCGAAUGGCAGUGAAUUUACAGUCAUGUAACCAUGGUGAUAAGCAAUAAAAUGGUUCCCACCAGCCCAGCCUUCACAACUGCUGGUCUGGUUUCUGUUGCUAUUCUGCUUUUUCCAGAAUGCUACAGAAAUGGAGUCAUGUAACAGAUACCCAUUUAUGUCUGGUUAAGUAAGCAUACUGUUUUUGGGAUUCACUGAUGUCGCAUGUUAUAAGUAAAUGAUACCUGUUUACUACUGGGUAGUAUUCCUUUUUAUAGAUG